Molecule: ribosomal RNA, 765 nt
Filed under: uncultured Weissella sp.
Lineage: Bacteria; Bacillati; Bacillota; Bacilli; Lactobacillales; Lactobacillaceae
Description: bacterial SSU rRNA
Rfam family: Bacterial small subunit ribosomal RNA
Source: RNAcentral
GAACGGGUGAGUAACACGUGGGAAACCUACCUCUUAGCAGGGGAUAACAUUUGGAAACAGAUGCUAAUACCGUAUAACAAUGACAACCGCAUGGUUGUUAUUUAAAAGAUGGUUCUGCUAUCACUAAGAGAUGGUCCCGCGGUGCAUUAGCUAGUUGGUAAGGUAAUGGCUUACCAAGGCAAUGAUGCAUAGCCGAGUUGAGAGACUGAUCGGCCACAAUGGGACUGAGACACGGCCCAUACUCCUACGGGAGGCAGCAGUAGGGAAUCUUCCACAAUGGGCGAAAGCCUGAUGGAGCAACGCCGCGUGUGUGAUGAAGGGUUUCGGCUCGUAAAACACUGUUGUAAGAGAAGAAUGACAUUGAGAGUAACUGUUCAAUGUGUGACGGUAUCUUACCAGAAAGGAACGGCUAAAUACGUGCCAGCAGCCGCGGUAAUACGUAUGUUCCAAGCGUUAUCCGGAUUUAUUGGGCGUAAAGCGAGCGCAGACGGUUAUUUAAGUCUGAAGUGAAAGCCCUCAGCUCAACUGAGGAAUUGCUUUGGAAACUGGAUGACUUGAGUGCAGUAGAGGAAAGUGGAACUCCAUGUGUAGCGGUGAAAUGCGUAGAUAUAUGGAAGAACACCAGUGGCGAAGGCGGCUUUCUGGACUGUAACUGACGUUGAGGCUCGAAAGUGUGGGUAACAAACAGGAUUAGAUACCCUGGUAGUCCACACCGUAAACGAUGAGUGCUAGGUGUUUGAGGGUUUCCGCCCUUAAGUGCCGCAG